AGGGGGUUCGCCAAGUCGGUAAGGCACGGGCCUUUGGAGCCCGCAUUCGAAGGUUCGAGUCCUUCACCCCCUGCCA
Molecule: transfer RNA, 76 nt
Filed under: candidate division BRC1 bacterium ADurb.Bin183
Lineage: Bacteria; Candidatus Sumerlaeota
Also listed under: 2 other names
Description: tRNA-Gln
Rfam family: tRNA
About the family: Transfer RNA (tRNA) molecules are approximately 80 nucleotides in length. Their secondary structure includes four short double-helical elements and three loops (D, anti-codon, and T loops). Further hydrogen bonds mediate the characteristic L-shaped molecular structure. tRNAs have two regions of fundamental functional importance: the anti-codon, which is responsible for specific mRNA codon recognition, and the 3' end, to which the tRNAs corresponding amino acid is attached (by aminoacyl-tRNA synthetases). tRNAs cope with the degeneracy of the genetic code in two manners: having more than one tRNA (with a specific anti-codon) for a particular amino acid; and 'wobble' base-pairing, i.e. permitting non-standard base-pairing at the 3rd anti-codon position.
Source: RNAcentral